GUACUGAGACACGGACCCGACUCCUACGGGAGGCAGCAGUAAGGAAUAUUGGUCAAUGGGCGAAAGCCUGAACCAGCCAUGCCGCGUGAAGGAUGAAGGCGUUAUGCGUUGUAAACUUCUUUUGUAUAGGAAGAAUGGUCGGGAUUCAUCCCGAAAGCGACGGUACUAUACGAAUAAGCACCGGCUAACUCCGUGCCAGCAGCCGCGGUAAUACGGAGGGUGCGAGCGUUAUCCGGAAUCACUGGGUUUAAAGGGUACGUAGGCGGUUAAUUAAGUCAGCAGUGAAAGCCUGUCGCUCAACGACGGAUGUGCUGUUGAAACUGGUUAACUUGAAAUGGGUUAGGGUUGGCGGAAUGGGUCAUGUAGCGGUGAAAUGCUUAGAUAUGAC
This 388-nucleotide ribosomal RNA is filed under the name Candidatus Magnispira bakii. Its description in RNAcentral is "bacterial SSU rRNA". It matches the Rfam family "Bacterial small subunit ribosomal RNA", at positions 316 to 700 of the family's 1533-position model. The record is from RNAcentral. Lineage: Bacteria; Pseudomonadati; Bacteroidota; Cytophagia; Cytophagales; Cytophagaceae.